CAAUGGCAUAAGCGUGCUUAACUGCGAGACCGACAAGUCGAGCAGGUGCGAAAGCAGGUCAUAGUGAUCCGGUGGUUCUGUAUGGAAGGGCCAUCGCUCAACGGAUAAAAGGUACUCUGGGGAUAACAGGCUGAUACCGCCCAAGAGUUCAUAUCGACGGCGGUGUUUGGCACCUCGAUGUCGGCUCAUCUCAUCCUGGGGCUGUAGCCGGUCCCAAGGGUAUGGCUGUUCGCCAUUUAAAGAGGUACGUGAGCUGGGUUUAAAACGUCGUGAGACAGUUUGGUCCCUAUCUGCCGUGGGCGUUGGAUAUUUGAAGGGGGCUGCUCCUAGUACGAGAGGACCGGAGUGGACGAACCUCUGGUGUACCGGUUGUCACGCCAGUGGGACC
RNAcentral lists this ribosomal RNA (388 nucleotides) under Burkholderia cenocepacia. Its description in RNAcentral is "bacterial LSU rRNA". It matches the Rfam family "Bacterial large subunit ribosomal RNA", at positions 2352 to 2739 of the family's 2925-position model. Lineage: Bacteria; Pseudomonadati; Pseudomonadota; Betaproteobacteria; Burkholderiales; Burkholderiaceae. The record is from RNAcentral.